CGCACAAGCGGUGGAUGAUGUGGAUCAAAUUCGAUACAACCGCGAAAACCUUACCUACCCUUGACAUGCUCUGGAAUCCCGAAGAGAUUUGGGAGUGCUCGCAAGAGAACCGGAACACAGGUGCUGCUGUGGCUGUCGUCAGCUCGUGUCGUGAGAUGUUGGGUUAAGUCCCGCAACGAGCGCAACCCUUGUCAUUAGUUGCUACGAAGGGCACUCUAAUGAGACUGCCGGUGACAAACCAGAGAAGGUGGGGAUGACGUCAAGUCCUCAUGGCCCUUAUGGGUAGGGCUUCACACGUCAUACAAUGGUCGGGACAGAGGGUCGCCAACCCGCCGGGGAGCCAAUCCCAGAGAGCCCGAUCGUAGUCCGGAUCGCAGUCUGCAACUCGACUGCGUGAAGUCGAGAUCGCUGGCCGUCGCGGAUCAGCAUGUCGCGGUGAAUACGUUCCCGGGUCUUGUACACACCGCCCGUCACACCAUGGGAGUGGGUUUACCAGAAGUGGAUUAGCUGGCGCCGUAAGGGAGGGCGAUUACCACGGUGCAGUUCAUGACUGGGGUGAAGUCGUAACAAGGUAA
Molecule: unclassified non-coding RNA, 575 nt
Filed under: uncultured Bordetella sp.
Lineage: Bacteria; Pseudomonadati; Pseudomonadota; Betaproteobacteria; Burkholderiales; Alcaligenaceae
Description: partial 16S-23S ribosomal RNA intergenic spacer
Rfam family: Bacterial small subunit ribosomal RNA
Source: RNAcentral